AUGACCCUAAGUCAGAUGGGAUUACUCACUAAGUUUAAGCUUAUCAAUAAGUAGAGGAAAAGAAACUUACUAGGAUUCCUUUAGUAAUAGCAACCAAAUCGAGAAUAGCCCAGCUUGAGAAUUGGGCACCCCAUGUGUCCAAAUUGUAGUCUGGAGAAGCAUCUUUAGCGAUAGACUGAGCCUAAGUCCCUUAGAAAGGGGCACCGGGGAGGGUGAGAGCCUUGUUAUGCCUAGACCCUAUUACACCACAUGGUGUGGUCUGUGAGUCAGGUUAUUUGGGAAUGCAGCUUUAAUCAAGCGAUAAAUUCCAUCCAAGGCUAAAUAGAAGGAAGAGUUCAAUAGUAAAGAAAUAUCAUGAGGGAAAGAUGAAAAGGACUUUGAAAAGAGAGUCGACAAGUGCUUGAAAAUCAUUAGUAGCAAAGUGGAUAAGGGUCGAGGAUGCACCCUAAUUGGACGUGGAAUGGUGAAAGCCAGUUUGUCAAUCAGCCCAAGGAGUGGACUGACGCAGGUCAUUGCAGCUGCCCAAGCUUUAGCUUUUGAUAUGCUCAUAGAGAUGUUGUCAUCGUGAUCAUAAAAUGCAGCACACACCACCUCGACAUACCUUGGCACCAAUGUGCUCUUGGCAUCGAUCGUGGGCUCCCUAUCUGGCCUAUCUUGAAACAUAAACAAAGGAGUUUGAUAUGUGUGCAAGUCAAUAGGUUAGAAAACCCAAAAAGUGCAGGAAAGCUAAUUGGGAAUAUCCCUCAUAGGUGCACUACUAAUCGACCUUGAUCUUCUAAGAAGGGUUCGAAUGUGAGCAUGCCUGUUAGGAGUCGAAAAAUGGUGAAUUAUGCCUAAGUAGGGCAAUGCCAAAGGAAACUUUGGUAGAGGCCAGUAGUGAUACUGACAUGCAAAUCAUUCGUUUGACUUGAGUAUAGGGGUGAAAGACUAAUCAAACUUCCUAGUAGCUAGUUCCCUUCAAAGUUCCCUUAGGAUAAAUAGAGCCCUUAGCGAGUUUUAUUGAGUAAAGCCAAUGAUUAAAGGCAUUGUGGGCGCAACACCCUCGACCUAUUCUUAAACUUUAAAUAGGUAGGAUGGCAUGACUGAUUCAUUGAGCCAUGGCUUAAAAUCAAGAGCUCCAAGUGGGCCAUUUUUGGUAAGCAAAAUUGGUAAUGCAAGAUGAAUCAAAAGCCAGGUUAUAAUGCCCAAUUGUGCACUAACCUAGAACCCACAAAGGGUAUUGGUCGAUUAAAACAGUCAAACAGUGGUCAUGAAAGUCAAAAUCCACUAAGGAGUAUGUAACAACUCACUUGACAAAUCAACUAGCCCUGAAAAUGGAUGUCACUUAAGCACGCGAUCUAUUCCUAGCCAUCAAGGCAAGGGCUAGGCCUUAAUGAGUAGGAUGGCAUAGUGGUCAUGGCAAAACCCAACGAAGAAGCUCUGGUAGAUCGAUCGUUGGUGUAGAUCUUGAUGGUACUAGCAAAUAUUCAAAUGAGAACUUUGAAGGUUGAAGAGGGGAAAGGUUCCAUGUGAACGACACUUGCACAUGGGUUAGUCAAUCCUAAGAGAUAAGGGAAGCCUGUCCGAUAGCAGGUUCAGCAUGAGCUUUAAAAGGGAAUCAGGUUAAAAUCCUUGAACUAUGAUGUGAUAACUAACCAUAAUGUUAGAGAGUCUAGAGACAUCAACAGAGGCCUCGAGAAAAGUUAUCUUUUUUGUUUAACGGCCUGCCACAUUAGAAAUGGCUCAAUCAAUAAUAGGGCCCAACGGCUAAAAGAGCGUUACACGAUGCACGGUGUUUAGUGCAACCUUAGCAGCCUUUGAAAAUUAGGUGGAUCAAGUGUCAUUUAUGCCCGGUCUUACUCAUAACCGCAUUAGGUCUCUAUGGUGAACAACUUUUGGUUGAUGAAACAAUGUAGGCAAGGGAAGUCAGCAAAAUGGAUUUGUAACCUCUAGAAAAAGAUUGGCUCUGAAGGCUAGGCAUAGAGUCCCAAUCCCGAACCUAUUAGCUGUUGGUGCACAACUUAAAUUGUUCCUAUGGUGAGAGUGAGUCACCACAUGCCAGCCAAGGGAUGGACUUGAAACUACUCCCUCAGGGAUCUUCCCCAAGUGAGAAACAGUCAACUCAAAACUAGUACAGACAAAGGGAAUCCAACUAUUUAAUUAAAAACAAAGCAUUAUAAUGGUCCUUAUGCAUGGUUACGUCAUGUGAUUUAUACCCAGUGCUUUGAAUGUCAAAGUGAAGAAAUUUAACUAAGUGCAGGUAACUAGUGGGAGUAAUAUGACUCUUUUAAUGUAGCCAAGUGCCAUUUUCAUCUAAUUAAUGUCACACAUGAAUGGAUUAAUGGGAUUCCCACUAUCCCUAUCUACUAUCUAGUAAAGCGAUAACCAAGGGAAUGAGCCUGGUAGAAUCAACUAGGAAAGAAGACCCUGUUGAGCUUAACUCUAGUCCAACAUGAUAGGUGUAGGAUAAGUGGAAGCUUUCAAGCAAAAUUGAAAUGCCACUACUUUUAACAUUAUUUUACUUAUUUUGUGAAUCAAAGGUGGGGCAUGAUCCCUUCUUUUGCACACAAGAUUAGACUCCAUCAGUCAAUCUUGGAGGAAGACAUUGUCAAGUGGGGAGUUUGGUAGGGUGGCAUAUUUAUUAAAAGAUAAUACAGGUGUCCUAAGAUAAGCUCAACAAGAAUAGAAAUCUUGUGUGGAACAAAAGGGUAAAAGCUAAUUUGAUUCUGAUUUCCAAUAUGAAUACGAACAAUGAAAGCUGGCCUAUCAAUCCUUCAAACCUUUAGAAAUUGAAGUUAGAUGUGUCAGAAAAGUUAUCUCAAGGAUAAUUAACUUGUGGUAGCCAAGCAUUCCUAGCGACAUUGCUUUCUGAUCCUUCGAUGUUAGCUUUUCCUAUCAAUGUGAAGCAGAAUUCAUCAAGUGUUAGGUGUUUCACCCACCUAUAGGGAAAGUGAGCUAGGUUUAGACUGUCAUGAGAUAGGUUAGUUUUACCCAACUACUUGCAACAUUGUAAUAGCAAUUUAUCCUAGUACGAGAGGAACCAUUGAAUAUCACAAUUGGUCGUCAUGUUAAAAAGUCAGUGGUAUGAAGCAACCAUGCAUUGGAUUAUGACUGAACACCUUUAAGUUAGAAUGAGGGCUAAAAGUGAUGCACACACCUGUCACCUAAUUGUCGACCCAUAGUAGAGGCCCAUAGCCCAAGAAGGCACGUGUUGUAAAUGCAACCCUUGAGGCAAACAAGCCACAUGGGCCUCCUUAGAGCU
Molecule: ribosomal RNA, 3241 nt
Filed under: Durio zibethinus
Lineage: Eukaryota; Viridiplantae; Streptophyta; Magnoliopsida; Malvales; Malvaceae
Description: eukaryotic LSU rRNA
Rfam family: Eukaryotic large subunit ribosomal RNA
Source: RNAcentral